UACGGAGGGUGCGAGCGUUGUCCGGAAUCACUGGGCGUAAAGGGCGCGUAGGCGGCUGGGGUAGUCCGUGGUGAAAGCUCGAGGCUCAACUUCGAGUCGGCCAUGGAUACUCCUCGGCUUGAGCACUGUAGAGGCAGGUGGAAUUCCGGGAGUAGCGGUGGAAUGCGUAGAGAUCCGGAAGAACACCGGUGGCGAAGGCGGCCUGCUGGGCAGUAGCUGACGCUGAGGCGCGACAGCGUGGGGAGCAAACAGG
This 253-nucleotide ribosomal RNA is filed under the name uncultured bacterium. RNAcentral's name for it is "partial 16S ribosomal RNA". It matches the Rfam family "Bacterial small subunit ribosomal RNA", at positions 524 to 776 of the family's 1533-position model. The record is from RNAcentral.